CCUAGGGGGGCUGCAGUGGGGAAUAUUGGACAAUGGGCGAAAGCCUGAUCCAGCCAUGCCGCGUGUGUGAAGAAGGCCUUCGGGUUGUAAAGCACUUUCAGUGGGGAAGAAAGCCUUGGGGCUAAUACCCUCGAGGAAGGACAUCACCCACAGAAGAAGCACCGGCUAACUCCGUGCCAGCAGCCGCGGUAAUACGGAGGGUGCGAGCGUUAAUCGGAAUUACUGGGCGUAAAGCGCGCGUAGGCGGUCUGAUAAGCCGGUUGUGAAAGCCCCGGGCUCAACCUGGGAACGGCAUCCGGAACUGUCAGGCUAGAGUGCAGGAGAGGAAGGUAGAAUUCCCGGUGUAGCGGUGAAAUGCGUAGAGAUCGGGAGGAAUACCAGUGGCGAAGGCGGCCUUCUGGACUGACACUGACGCUGAGGUGCGAAAGCGUGGGUAGCAAACAGGAUUAGAUACCCGUGUAGU
This 463-nucleotide ribosomal RNA is filed under the name Vreelandella stevensii. RNAcentral's name for it is "partial 16S ribosomal RNA". It matches the Rfam family "Bacterial small subunit ribosomal RNA", at positions 338 to 794 of the family's 1533-position model. Lineage: Bacteria; Pseudomonadati; Pseudomonadota; Gammaproteobacteria; Oceanospirillales; Halomonadaceae. The record is from RNAcentral.